This 253-nucleotide ribosomal RNA is filed under the name uncultured bacterium. Its description in RNAcentral is "partial 16S ribosomal RNA". It matches the Rfam family "Bacterial small subunit ribosomal RNA", at positions 524 to 776 of the family's 1533-position model. The record is from RNAcentral.
UACGGAGGAUGCAAGCGUUAUCCGGAAUGAUUGGGCGUAAAGCGUCCGCAGGUGGCUGUGUAAGUCUGCUGUUAAAGAGUGAGGCUCAACCUCAUAAGAGCAGUGGAAACUACAUGGCUAGAGUGCGUUCGGGGCAGAGGGAAUUCCUGGUGUAGCGGUGAAAUGCGUAGAGAUCAGGAAGAACAUCGGUGGCGAAGGCGCUCUGCUGGACCAUAACUGACACUCAGGGACGAAAGCUAGGGGAGCGAAUGGG